Molecule: long non-coding RNA, 1475 nt
Organism: Oncorhynchus tshawytscha (Chinook salmon)
Lineage: Eukaryota; Metazoa; Chordata; Actinopteri; Salmoniformes; Salmonidae
Source: Ensembl
CUCUAAAUACAACAGGUGUUAUACAUUACAGUGAAACGCUUACUUACAAGCCCUUAACUAACAAUGCAGUUUUAAGAAAAAUAAGAUUUAAGAAAAUAUUUACUAAACAAACUAAAGUAAAAAGAAAGAAAGUAACACAAAAUAACAAGGCUAUAUACAGGGGGUACUUGCUGUAUGGGAUGAAAACGAGACAACUUUUCAGUCUGAGCAACUGUAGGCUACUAAAAUGAGCAGAUGCAUACAGCCUAUGUUCGCUGUCCAUUUGGUCAGGGUAAACUAAUUGGUAACGUUAUGUAUUUAUAGUCCAUCUGUAUUUAUAGUCCAGAAAAUGUGAAUGUGAUCAAAUUUUGUUUAUAUCCCAAAUCGGGCUGGCUAGGCUGCCAAUACGUUUUCAAUCCAAAAUGAUUAACUGGAAAGAAUCAAUCAACAUAAUAGUAAUGACAGAUGUUAGUAAACAAUUCUAUAAGGCCUACAGUUGCAUAGGACUGCAUGAUACAAACAUUCAUAAAGCAAACUCAGCCCUCAGUUGAUGAUCAGGGCGUUUAUUCAAAUCAAAUCAAAUGUAUUUAUAUAGCCCUUCGUACAUCAGCUGAUAUCUCAAAGUGCUGUACAGAAACCCAGCCUAAAACCCCAAACAGCAAGCAAUGCAGGUGUAGAAGCACGGUGGCUAGGAAAAACUCCCUAGAAAGGCCAAAACCUAGGAAGAAACCUAGAGAGGAUCCAGGCUAUGUGGGGUGGCCAGUCCUCUUCUGGCUGUGCCGGGUGGAGAUUAUAACAGACCAAGAUGUUCAAAUGUUCAUAAAUGACCAGCAUGGUCGAAUAAUAAUAAGGCAGAACAGUUGAAACUGGAGCAGCAGCACAGUCAGGUGGACUGGGGACAGCAAGGAGUCAUCAUGUCAGGUAGUCCUGGGGCAAGGUCCUAGGGCUCAGGUCCUCCGAGAGAGAAAAAGAAAGAAAGAAUUAGAGAGAGCAUAUGUGGGGUGGCCAGUCCUCUUCUGGCUGUGCCUGGUGGAGAUUAUAAGUGAACAUGGCCAAGAUGUUCAAAUAUUCAAGAAUGUUUCUUGGGCUACUUUGAUGUAUUAAGUGGGCGAGAUGCCAACUCUUGUGUUUAACUUCACAGAGAAACUUGUUCAAACCUAUGAUGGAGCAGCUGUAAUGGAAUAUAUCUGAUAUUUUUUAUUUAUAUCUGAUAUUUUUUAUUUUUUAUUUUUUAUUUAUUUUAAGUCCCCUGCUGUUCCCUGAUUUUAAGAGGUGAUGACCAGUCCACUCUACUACCAUUGUCAACUCUGUCCUGACAUGAACUUAAGCCACGUCUCAUGUGCCCGCUCAUCCACUGGCACGUUGCAUGUUUCCUCUCCAAGCACUGCAAAUCCUGCAUUGAAGUCAAGCCUGUGAACACCUCAACUCAUGCCUCAUACACUCAUUCAACUGUGUAGCUAGCCCUCUCAUUCCCAAUCCCCAUAAUAUUGUACUAU